This 443-nucleotide ribosomal RNA is filed under the name uncultured bacterium. RNAcentral describes it as "partial 16S ribosomal RNA". It matches the Rfam family "Bacterial small subunit ribosomal RNA", at positions 338 to 795 of the family's 1533-position model. The record is from RNAcentral.
CCUACGUGAGGCAGCAGUGGGGAAUAUUGGGCAAUGGGCGCAAGCCUGACCCAGCAACGCCGCGUGAAGGAAGAAGGCUUUCGGGUUGUAAACUUCUUUUGUCAGGGACGAAGCAAGUGACGGUACCUGACGAAUAAGCCACGGCUAACCACGGGCCAGCAGACGCGGUUAUCCGUAGGUGGCAAGCGUUAUCCGGAUUUACUGGUGGUCAAGGGCGUGUGGGCGGGGGGGCAAGUCAGAUGUGAAAACCACGGGCGCAACCUGUGGCCUGCAUUUGAAACUGUUUUUCUUGAGGGCUGGAGAGGCAAUCGGAAGUCCGUGUGUAGCGGUGAAAUGCGUAGAUAUACGGAGGAACACCAGUGGCGGAGGCGGAUUGCUGGACAGUAACUGACGCUGAGGCGCGAAAGCGUGGGGAGCAAACAGGAUUAGAUACCCUUGUAGUC